Nerophis lumbriciformis (worm pipefish) is the source of this 2640-nucleotide RNA transcript. It is a transcript of the gene named CUGBP Elav-like family member 3, with no coding region annotated. The record is from RefSeq and is a predicted model, not a curated record. NCBI's taxonomy places the organism in Eukaryota, Metazoa, Chordata, Actinopteri, Syngnathiformes, Syngnathidae.
CACUUACACGCACACACACUUACACGCACUCACGCACGCACACAUGCACGCACACACACACACACACACACACACACACACACACACACGCACACACACAUCCAGGAGGAGAGGGGAGCGCCAACAGACUGCCAGUUCCCUCAGGUCCGCUGAUGGAAGCCUAAACAUCCGUCUGUCACAACACAUCUCCAUCGCUGUUUUCCCUCAUUGUUUGUCUUAAGGAAAGACAACAACAACAACAUCGCGUCAAAGGGGGAAAAAAGCUUCAAAAGUCGCUCUUUGCCCAAAUGACUGACCGCUGUUGGCGCUGUUAAACUUGUAAAAAAAAUGGAUUUAAAGGCGCGCUGGUAGUACAAUUAACGUCAUAAUUGACACCUUACAAGACGAGAAGACGUCCACUGUUCAUUCCUUCGCCCCGAGCAGCACCACAGACUCUCAAUGAAGGAGCCUGACGCAAUCAAGCUCUUCAUUGGGCAAAUACCCCGAAACCUUGAGGAAAAAGACCUCAAGCCCAUUUUCGAGCAAUUCGGCAAGAUUUACGAGUUGACGGUGAUAAAGGACAAAUACACGGGGAUGCACAAAGGAUGUGCCUUCCUGACAUACUGUGCUCGUGAGUCAGCCCUCAAAGCCCAGAAUGCAUUGCACGAGCAGAAGACACUGCCCGGGAUGAACCGUCCCAUCCAGGUGAAGCCAGCAGACAGCGAGAGCAGAGGGGAAGACAGGAAGCUCUUUGUGGGCAUGCUGGGAAAGCAGCAGACCGACCCCGACGUGAGAAAGAUGUUCGAACCCUUUGGCAGCAUCGAGGAGUGCACAGUGCUCCGCGGACCGGAUGGCACCAGCAAAGGGUGUGCAUUUGUUAAGUUCCAGUGCAACGCCGAGGCCCAGGCUGCUAUCAACGCUCUCCAUGGAAGCCGCACUCUACCGGGAGCCUCAUCCAGUCUGGUUGUGAAGUUUGCCGAUUCGGAGAAGGAGCGGGGGCUUCGGCGGAUGCAGCAGGUGGCCUCUCAGCUGGGAGUCAUCAGUCCCAUGACCCUGCACCUCGGAGCCUACAACGCCUACACGCAAGCUUUGAUGCAACAGCAGGCGCUGGUGGCCCAAUCAGCCUACCUCUCUCCUGUUGCCACGGUGGCGGCCGUUCAGAUGCAACAGCUGGCUGCCCUCAACCCCAGCAGCCUAAUUGCCAUGCCGAUCGCAUCCAUCACCCCCUCUUCAGGUACAAGCACUCCGCCCUCCAUCACAGCCACGCCGGUUCCUGCCCUGCCUCCACCAAUUGCAUUGAGCAGCUACCCCUCAGUGCCAGCGCCACCUAACGGCCAAUCAGCAAGCGAGACCCUGUACACCAACGGGGUCCAUGCCUAUCAAGCUCAGAGUCCUGUCCUGGACCCCCUGCAGCAAGCUUACACGGGCAUGCAGCACUACACAGCCACCUAUCCUGCCGCCUACAGCCUGGUGGGGCAGCCGUUCCCUCAUCAGCCCACUCUGGUAGCUCAGCAGCCCCAGCAGCCACAGCAGCUACAACAGCGUGAAGGUCCUGAAGGAUGCAACAUUUUCAUCUACCACCUUCCUCAGGAGUUCACUGACUCUGAAAUCCUGCAGAUGUUCUUGCCCUUCGGAAACGUCAUCUCAGCCAAGGUCUUUGUUGACCGCGCCACCAACCAAAGCAAAUGCUUCGGUUUUGUGAGUUUUGACAACCCGUCUAGCGCUCAAACUGCCAUCCAGGCCAUGAACGGCUUCCAGAUCGGCAUGAAGAGACUGAAGGUGCAGCUGAAGCGGCCGAAGGACGCCAACAGACCUUACUGAAGGAGACCGUCCCGUCGACAUACAUAUAUCGUGGAGAUGUGCGUCGCUAUGGCUACAGUUGCUUAGCAGCCACAUAAACCUCCCCCCCCUCCUUCUCACCGCGUCAAGAAUUUAGGAGUUCAAUCAAGAGAAAAAAAAACCACCUGGGGGGAUGUCCCGGCCUUGUUUGGUUGUUUGACCAACCAUGUUAGCACAGGAGCGUCGCCUCACAAAAGCGGCGUCACGUGCUAAACGCUUUCCUCGAGCAGCAGCCAAACGCAGUAACGUUAUCAUCAAAAAGCAUACCGAGCGGCUGAAUGAGUUCCUAAUCAUUCCACAGCGGGAUACAUUCAUACGAUGUACAUAUUCUAGUGUCAGUGUUCUACAUGUUAAAAGAAAAACCACAUCACUGGUGAGAUGUGAUACUGAACAGGGUUCUACUGUAUAGUGAUUUGUGUCCGAAGGGGAAUGGAAAUAUAUUCUGUGUGACCACGACUGGUCAUUUUGUUAUGUAGUUAGUUUGAUUUUUAUGAUGGGCUUUUAAAACGGAAAGACGCUUGAGUAGAUUCUGCUGUACAAAAAAAAAAAAAAAAAAUACUACUUUUCAAAUUCACAAAGUGGAAGGAAGGGCUGGGAUAUUUUAUAUCUUUUAUGUUGUAUGCUUAAUUUGUUUAGUAAUCAACUUGAUGAAAAGUACCGGUAUGUGCAUUUUUUUUUUUUUUAACUAAUUUAAGAAAAGAAGAUAAUGGAUUCCUUCAAGACAAUGAAUAUACUUAUUAUAGAGUUUUUAAUGACAUAAAUUUAAGGACAUGUUUCUUUAUUUAUUCUCUACAAUCGCUGUUUUAAAACAAUAAAGUACAA